Long non-coding RNA from Monopterus albus (swamp eel), 629 nucleotides. RefSeq lists it as uncharacterized. Lineage: Eukaryota; Metazoa; Chordata; Actinopteri; Synbranchiformes; Synbranchidae. The record is from RefSeq and is a predicted model, not a curated record. The transcript is spliced from 3 exons.
AUGGGGGGGGUCUAAGUUUGUGAGAGAUAAUCAUUGGUACACAUUUAUGGCCUCAAGCUAUUAUGUAGACUCCGUCUUCCGCCGUAUUUAUGUACCAAAACGGUGCAAACAACACAAAACCCACAAAACAAUCAAACGUGCAACCUGAAGUGCUGCUGUAUCAGCGGUGAGGUUUGUGGCAUUGGAAGAGCAGAGACAAGUGUGUCGCAGAAACCACAUGUUGGUACUGGAGCCAAACUGGGGCCGUCCCCCAAGAUGUGGAGCUACGCCGAUGGACCCAGAUAGAACAAUGCGUUCUGCAUUGGAGAGGACAAAUGACCCUAACAAAGGAAACUCUCAGCUGCACUUGUGGCUUUCACAAUGCCAAGGUCUAUCUACUCAGUGGAAUUCAUAAUGACACUCUACUGGAGUAUGCGUCUCUGCAAAGCUUCGCAGAGAGGACCACCACCUCACCUGUUAAGGCAAUACAGCUGCUGUUCCACUGGCAGGGGACAGGUCACAUUGUCUGUAAUGGAUUUCUCUACUACCACAAGGCAGAUACACCCAACCAGAUAGUGAAGGUCGGCCAUACUGACAGUUUUUGGUUGUCUUCCACUGUUUGUAAAAAAUGGUCACACUGGCAGAUCACA